UACAUGGGGUGCAAACGUUGCUCGGAAUUAUUGGGCGUAAAGCGCACGUAGGCGGUUCGUUAAGUCGGAUGUGAAAGCCCUCGGCUCAACUGAGGAAGUGCACCCGAAACUGGCGAGCUUGAGUACGAAAGAGGAUCGCGGAAUUCCCGGUGUAGAGGUGAAAUUCGUAGAUAUCGGGAGGAACACCGGUGGCGAAGGCGGCGAUCUGGGUCGAUACUGACGCUGAGGUGCGAAAGCGUGGGGAGCAAACAGA
Molecule: ribosomal RNA, 253 nt
Filed under: uncultured bacterium
Lineage: Bacteria
Description: partial 16S ribosomal RNA
Rfam family: Bacterial small subunit ribosomal RNA
Source: RNAcentral